UUGUGACACAGCUUCAGUUAAAAAAAAAAAAAAAAAAGGAAGGAUACAGAGAAGAUUAGCAUGGCCCCAGCACAAGAAUGACACCCAAAUUCGUGAAGCUUUCCAUAUUAAA
This is a small nuclear RNA of Rhinopithecus roxellana (golden snub-nosed monkey), 112 nucleotides long. The record is from RefSeq and is a predicted model, not a curated record. Lineage: Eukaryota; Metazoa; Chordata; Mammalia; Primates; Cercopithecidae.